AAAUUUUAUUAUUGGAAAUAAGAUUUCACAUGAAGAGAUGCUAUGAGGUUAAACGAAGAUGAGUAUAUGUAUAGAAAUAUAUAUAUACUUAGUAAUGUGCUAUAUAUAUUUAAGCAAGAAGAAUGAUGAAUUAAGUUAAUGAUAUAAUGAUCAAGAUUAAAACUAUGUUAGUAAUUAACAUAGCUUGAGUGUUGGCCUUGAUUGGCAAAUAAGAAUUUGAAUAAGUAUAAAGUCGUUAGUUAAUACAAUUAGUAAUGAGAAUGGAGUAAUUUAAAACUCAAAAUUUGAGUUAGAGAUAGAAUUUUGAAGCAUGGACUGUUCGAUUGCGUCCAAAACGUCGAGUUUAGUCAGAAUGGACAGUAAGCACAAAAUGUGUAAAGGUUGACUUUUGGUCCAAGUCAACAGUUAACUUUUAUGGAGAAAAGUCAAAAUUAAUGUGAGAAGUGAAAUAUGUUAUGAUUAUGUGAAUUAUGGAUAUGAGUAAAUAAAUAUACAUUAUAUAAUGUGAAUACAUUUAUUUUGUAUAUAAGGGUGGAGUAAGAAUUAAGUUAUGUAACCUAAUAUAUAUAUUAGGUGUGGUGAUUAAAUAACCUGAGAGGUUAUAAUAUGGGAGAAUAUUAGUAUAUAAAUGUAUAUACUGACAUUAAGAGAUUUAUUUUAUAUAUCUCCAAUAAUUAAUUUUAUAACCAAGUAUAAUUUGGUUUAUGAAAUUAAAAGGGCAUGAGUAAGGAAUUUAUUUUCUAGAGUGAGAGAUGUAAAC
This 760-nucleotide long non-coding RNA is filed under the name Panax ginseng (ginseng). RNAcentral's name for it is "long non-coding RNA (PGIN_LNC019132)". The record is from RNAcentral. Lineage: Eukaryota; Viridiplantae; Streptophyta; Magnoliopsida; Apiales; Araliaceae.